ACUGAAACAUCUAAGUAGGGCGAGGAAGAGAAAUCAACCGAGAUUCCGCUAGUAGUGGCGAGCGAACGCGGAAGAGGCCAAACCGGAGGUAGCAAUAUUUCCGGGGUUAGGACUGCAAUAUGUAACUUUAAUCUUUAACUGAAUGCUUUGGGAAGAGCAGCGAUACAGGGUGACAGCCCCGUAAGUGAAAAGGAUUGAGUGCUAGCAGUAUCCAGAGUACCAGCGGACACGUGAAACCCGCUGGGAAGAUGGGGGGACCAUCCUCCAAGCCUAAAUACUACUCAGUGACCGAUAGUGGAGCAGUACCGUGAGGGAAAGGUGAAAAGUACCCCGGGAGGGGAGUGAAAAAGAACCUGAAACCUUGUGCCUACAAGCACCGAGAGUCCGUUAAUGGAUGAUCGGGUACUUUUUGUAGAACGGUCCGGCGAGUUAAUAUUUGCAGCGAGGUUAAGGAACUGGAGUUCCGGAGCCGCAGCGAGAGCGAGUCUGAAAAGGGCGUAUGAAGUUGCAGGUAUUAGACCCGAAACCGGGUGACCUAUCCAUGAGCAGGCUGAAGCGGUGGUAAGACACCGUGGAGGGCCGCACCCACGUCUGUUGAAAAAGCCGGGGAUGACUUGUGGAUAGCGGAGAAAUUCCAAUCGAACUCGGAGAUAGCUGGUUCUCCCCGAAAUAGCUUUAGGGCUAGCGUUAUUUUAGAUUACCGGAGGUAAAGCACUGAAUGGUCUAGGGGCCGCGAGGUUACCAAAGCCUAUCAAACUCUGAAUGCCGGAUAAUUGAUGAAUAGCAGUCAGACUGUGUGAGAUAAGUCUCAUAGUCAAAAGGGAAACAGCCCAGAUCUACAGCUAAGGUCCCAAAUGAACACUAAGUGGAAAAUGAUGUGAAACUGCGAAGACAACCAGGAUGUUGGCUUAGAAGCAGCCACUCAUUCAAAGAGUGCGUAAUAGCUCACUGGUCGAGUGGUUUUGCGCAGAAAAUGUAACGGGGCUAAGUGUUCAACCGAAGCUUAGGCAUUGUACUUUGUACAUUGGGUAGGGGAGCGUCGUAUGCGGGGCGAAGUCAGAGCGGAAGCACUGGUGGACUGCAUACGAGUGAGAAUGCCGGAAUAAGUAGCGAGAAUUAUGUGAGAAUCAUAAUGGCCGAAAAUCUAAGGUUUCUUGGGGAAGGUUCGUCCGCCCAAGGUUAGUCGGGAGCUAAGCUCAGGCCGAAAGGCGUAGGCGAUGCACAUACGGUAGAAAUUCCGUAACCACCGAACAUUUAAGCUAGAGGGACGCUUUCUUUAAGGUUAUCCCGGGCGAUGGUUGCCCCGGGCGUAAGGGACCGAAAUAUAGUAGGGAAGUAGAUGGCGAGAGAGACGAGAAAAGCUCUAGUGUAUACUAAGGUGCCCGUACCGCAAACCGACACAGGUAGAUGGGAUGAGUAUUCUAAGGCCAACGGGAGAAGGGUUGUUAAGGAACUCGGCAAAUUGGCCCCGUAACUUCGGGAUAAGGGGCGCCUGCGAGAGCAGGCCGCAGUGAAAAGGCCCAAGCGACUGUUUAGCAAAAACACAGCUCUCUGCUAAAUCGAAAGAUGACGUAUAGGGGGUGACGCCUGCCCGGUGCUGGAAGGUUAAGGGGAGUGCUUAGCGCAAGCGAAGGUGCGAACUUAAGCCCCAGUAAACGGCGGCCGUAACUAUAACGGUCCUAAGGUAGCGAAAUUCCUUGUCAGGUAAGUUCUGACCCGC
This 1720-nucleotide ribosomal RNA is filed under the name human gut metagenome. RNAcentral describes it as "bacterial LSU rRNA". It matches the Rfam family "Bacterial large subunit ribosomal RNA", at positions 192 to 1991 of the family's 2925-position model. The record is from RNAcentral.